GCCAGAAGAAAAACAAGCAAUAAAAGAGGAAGGAUGGCUCAGAAAUUAAGCUGCUAGCCCGAUCUGCGGGAUAUAUAGGUUUAGUUUCUUGCUCCACCCCAGGCUUCCUGUGUGAUCCUGUGUGGCCUUAGGUAAACCAUUUAGGGAGGCAUUUUUAAAAGUGCUUAAGUGACUUAGGUGCCUAACUCCCAUCACAUUGACUUUCAAUAGGGGCUAGGAACUUACCUUAGGUGCUUUUGAAAGUCUCACUCUUAGUCUCUCAGUUCUUCAUCUCUAAAAGGGGAAUAAUAGCAGAUCCCUACCUCAUAAGGAUGUUGGCAGGAAAGACACGUUUAAUAUUGUCAACAAGUCAGAUACUACAGCAGUAAGGGCCCUAGAUAGUGACUCAUCACACAUAACCACUUGCCAGGGGAUCGUGGUAAACAACAGUAAGGGCCAAGGGCCAUGGGAUAAAAGCAGAAAUACAGUGGGAAGCCCUGUCCAGACCUCAGGCUUUGACAAUGCACCGUGUGGCUCGCCCUGCCACUGAGCUGAGGGUGUAUCCCAUGGAGCCUGCCCCGCGCCGGUGGGAUGGGUUGAGGCGGAUGUGAGAGGAUCCAGGGUGGGUGUGUAGGAGCGCAGCAGCUGGAGACGGGAGAGAAGCACUGUGAAGGGGAGGAGGCAGGAGCUUGAGAGGAUCCAGGGUGAGCUGCGUGUGUCUUUGAUGGGAAGAAGAGGCAGCAGGGAGGCUGUGGAGAACGAGCGUCUCUCUGCCGGGAUGAGCGGACACAGAGGCUGAGCGUCCGUGUUUGGCAGAGAGCAGGCGGCAGGAGUGGGGUGAGNAACAGCUGUCUCUUAUACACAUCUAGAUGUGUAUAAGAGACAGGGGGGAGUGAGCCGUGGGGGGGGGAAGAGGCGGAUACACGGGAGCGGGCUCUCCUCCCGGUAGGCUGCGCUGUGAUCAGACCGGCGGGUUGUGCUCGCCCCCUUCCCCCUCCGCUCAGAGCCCCAGGCAGGCAGAGUCCGGAGCUGCUUGCCGAGCGGUCGCGCCUCCAGCCUUCUCCUCCCGGCCCCAGUCCCGGGCUGCGCGCUGCACCAGGAGGGCGCAGCGGGGCAGGCUCCCGGGCUCAUGGAGAUCGUGCAGCGGAGGCAGAGGGGGAAGUCCCGGAGCUGAUGCGUCGCCUUUGCUUCUUGGGGUUGCUUGUUUCCUUUAUGGAUUGUCGCUUGCUGUGUUUGGUCUCUUGCACUUCCUGUCUCAUACUCUAG
RNAcentral lists this long non-coding RNA (1245 nucleotides) under Gopherus agassizii (Agassiz's desert tortoise). RNAcentral's name for it is "lncRNA (ENSGAGG00000024598.1)". The record is from RNAcentral. Lineage: Eukaryota; Metazoa; Chordata; Testudines; Testudinidae.